Lontra canadensis (Northern American river otter) is the source of this 274-nucleotide long non-coding RNA. RefSeq lists it as uncharacterized. The record is from RefSeq and is a predicted model, not a curated record. NCBI's taxonomy places the organism in Eukaryota, Metazoa, Chordata, Mammalia, Carnivora, Mustelidae. The transcript is spliced from 3 exons.
GGCAGGGAUUUCCAGGCGGGAAGGGCAAGCCUUCAGCUGGCUUCAUUCCCUCCGGGUCCUCCCAGAGAAGCUCUCCCUGACCACCACCGCCCCCAAGAAGCCGCCAGCCAAGCGAUCCAGAUGGAACAUUCUAAAAUGUGCCUACAUGAUGGUCACCUUCUUGUUCGUGUCCUACAACAAAGGAGACUGGUGUUACUGUCACUACUGCAACACAGAAGAGGACAUCAGGACCGACCCCUGCUGCUCUUUCUAGCAACCCUACUCCGUCUCAGCU